This 742-nucleotide ribosomal RNA is filed under the name uncultured bacterium. RNAcentral's name for it is "bacterial SSU rRNA". It matches the Rfam family "Bacterial small subunit ribosomal RNA", at positions 8 to 796 of the family's 1533-position model. The record is from RNAcentral.
AGAGUUUGAUCCUGGCUCAGACUGAACGCUGGCGGCGUGGUUAAAGCAUGCAAGUCGAACGGGCCCGCAAGGGUCAGUGGCGAAAGGGUGAGUAAUGCGAUCCAACGUACCCCGAGGUGAGGGAUAGGCAUGGGAAACUGUGCGUAAUACCUCAUGAUCUCUUCGGAGCAAAGAUUUAUCGCCUUGGGAGCGGGGAUCGUCCUAUCAGGUAGUUGGCGGGGUAAAGGCCCACCAAGCCGAAGACGGGUAGCAGGUGUGAGAGCACGGCCUGCCACAUCGGGACUGAGACACUGCCCGGACUCCUACGGGAGGCUGCAGCGACGAAUCUUCCGCAAUGGGCGCAAGCCUGACGGAGCGACGCCGCGUGUGGGAUGAAGCGUCUCUGACGUGUAAACCACUGUCAGGGGUUUGAAACACUGAUCAACCCCAAAGGAAGGGUCGGCUAACUCUGUGCCAGCAGCCGCGGUAAGACAGAGGACCCGAGCGUUAGUCGGAAUUACUGGGCUUAAAGGGUGCGUAGGCGGACCUGCAAGUGUCCCGUGAAAUCCCACUGCUCAACGGUGGAACUGCGGGACAUACUGCUGGUCUCGAGGAAGGUAGAGGCGGGCAGAACGAUAGGUGGAGCGGUGGAAUGCGUAGAGAUCUAUCGGAAUGCCAAAGGUGAAGACAGCCCGCUGGGCCUUUCCUGACGCUGAGGCACGAAAGCGUGGGGAGCAAACAGGAUUAGAUACCCUGGUAGUCC